GACGAACGCUAGCGGCGUGCCUAAUGUAUGCAAGUCGAGCGAGGCCUUCGGGCCGAGCGGCGAACGGUUGAGUAACACGUCGGCAACCUGCCCCGCAGUGGGGGAUAACUCAUCGAAAGGUGGGCUAAUACCGCAUGUUGCCCCAGUUCGCAUGAACUGGUGGCGAAAGCAGUAAUGUGCUGCGGGAGGGGCCGGCGGCCUAUCAGCUUGUUGGUGGGGUAACGGCCUACCAAGGCUUCGACGGGUAGCUGGUCUGAGAGGAUGGUCAGCCAGACAGGGACUGAGACACGGCCCUGACUCCUUUGGGGGCAGCAAUGAGGGAUAUUGCGCAAUGGGGGAAACCCUGACGCAGCGACGCCGCGUGGGUGAUGAAGUCCUCGG
RNAcentral lists this ribosomal RNA (381 nucleotides) under uncultured bacterium. RNAcentral describes it as "bacterial SSU rRNA". It matches the Rfam family "Bacterial small subunit ribosomal RNA", at positions 28 to 420 of the family's 1533-position model. The record is from RNAcentral.